RNAcentral lists this ribosomal RNA (301 nucleotides) under uncultured bacterium. Its description in RNAcentral is "partial 16S ribosomal RNA". It matches the Rfam family "Bacterial small subunit ribosomal RNA", at positions 509 to 807 of the family's 1533-position model. The record is from RNAcentral.
CAGCCGCCGCGGUAAUACGAAGGGGGCUAGCGUUGUUCGGAAUUACUGGGCGUAAAGCGCACGUAGGCGGACAUUUAAGUCAGGGGUGAAAUCCCGGGGCUCAACCCCGGAACUGCCUUUGAUACUGGGUGUCUAGAGUAUGGAAGAGGUGAGUGGAAUUCCGAGUGUAGAGGUGAAAUUCGUAGAUAUUCGGAGGAACACCAGUGGCGAAGGCGGCUCACUGGUCCAUUACUGACGCUGAGGUGCGAAAGCGUGGGGAGCAAACAGGAUUAGAUACCCCAGUAGUCCCUGUCUCUUAUAC